AUAAUGACGAUGAAUGGAAGAGUAAUUGUAUUGGUAAUAUUCACAGCGAGCUGGAGAUGGUGUAAGCCAGUAAUAUGAAAUACAAUGAAAAUCAUCCACGAGUUGCGGGCUGAAGAAUUAGUAAGCUGCGCCGGGCCUCUUUUAGAGGAAUUGCUGCCCGUUAUUGCAGCGAGGUAUAGAGUAUUUAUGCUCCGUACCUAUGAGAUAUUAUGGUUUAUUCCAUAAUAAUUUGGGUGGUAUCGCGGAUUAACCUCCGUCCCUUUA
This 264-nucleotide non-coding RNA is filed under the name Pelosinus fermentans. RNAcentral's name for it is "T-box sequence". It matches the Rfam family "T-box leader". From Rfam's summary of the family: Uncharged tRNA acts as the effector for transcription antitermination of genes in the T-box leader family. Lineage: Bacteria; Bacillati; Bacillota; Negativicutes; Selenomonadales; Sporomusaceae. The record is from RNAcentral.